This 495-nucleotide ribosomal RNA is filed under the name uncultured bacterium. RNAcentral describes it as "partial 16S ribosomal RNA". It matches the Rfam family "Bacterial small subunit ribosomal RNA", at positions 28 to 507 of the family's 1533-position model. The record is from RNAcentral.
GACGAACGCUGGCGGCGUGCCUAAUACAUGCAAGUAGAACGCUGAAGGAGGAGCUUGCUUCUCUGGAUGAGUUGCGAACGGGUGAGUAACGCGUAGGUAACCUGCCUGGUAGCGGGGGAUAACUAUUGGAAACGAUAGCUAAUACCGCAUAAUAGCAGCUGUUGCAUGAUAACUGUUUGAAAGGUGCAAUUGCACCACUACCAGAUGGACCUGCGUUGUAUUAGCUAGUUGGUGGGGUAACGGCUCACCAAGGCGACGAUACAUAGCCGACCUGAGAGGGGGGGCAGCCGCACUGAGACUGAGACACGGCCCAGAGGGCUAGGGGUGGGGGCAGUAGGGAAACUUCAGCAAUGAGCGGGAAUCUGACCGAGCAGCGCCGCAUGAGUAAGGAGGGUUUUCGGGUCGUAGAGCUCUGUUGUAAGGGAGGAACGAGUGUGAGAGUGGAAAGAUCACACUGUGACGGUAUCUUACCAAGAAGGAACGGCUAACUACGUG